Pelobates cultripes (western spadefoot toad) is the source of this 476-nucleotide non-coding RNA. Lineage: Eukaryota; Metazoa; Chordata; Amphibia; Anura; Pelobatidae. The record is from the annotation of a GenBank genome assembly.
CUAAAAAUGGGGAGGUUGACUAAUGUCAGAAGUAGAUGGUAAGUCUAGGAAAGAAACAGACUUAUCUGUGCUUUUAAAUAUGCCUUUAUUAGUGGUAGAUUUGGGAAUUAUUAUGGUUCAAGUUGCCGUGUAGUUGGUAACUAAUAGAUAAAUUACUUUCUGUGUCAGACCAUUCCGUCUCAGCAGCUGUUGAGCUACUACGGCUGUUCAAUCACCUGUGGUAUCUACGUUUUUGUUUGAAUAUAAGGGAGAUAUAAGGACACAUAUGAAGAACCUCUUUUUAUGCAACCACAUUCCAGAAUUAUUAGACAAAGAAUGUCAGGUAACAUAUUAACACCAUCUGUUACUUAUACUCAAUCCAGACACCCACAUCUAAUGUGUACAGAAUAUGCAAUAUCAUAAUGUGCCUAUCACCAGUCAAUGUGAGUCUCCACUGUUACUCGCCCCACUUUUUCCUGUGCCAUAUCUUGAUGAAA